CCCUUAAGUCCCCCCUAGGGAUAAGGAGCUGGUAUCAGGCCCAUUUUUAGCCCAAGACACCUAGCUACGCCACACCCACAAGGGAAUGCAGCAGUGAUUAACCUUGAUAAUAAGCGCAAGCUUGAAUCAGUUAAAGUAAACAGAGCCGGCAAAUCUGGUGCCAGCCGCCGCGGUUACACCACGUGACUCAAAUUGACCCCCCACGGCGUAAAGCGUGAUUAAAGCUAAUAAAAACUAUAGUUAAACCCGAAUUAAGCCGUGAAAUUCUUAUUCUGCGGAAACCCAAAAACGAAAGUUACUACAAUUCAAACAACUUGAACUCACGACAGCUGGGAAACAAACUGGGAUUAGAUACCCCACUAUGCCCAACCGUAAACCUUAAUUUACACUCAAAUCGCCAGGGAACUACGAGCAAAGCUUAAAACCCAAAGGACUUGACGGUACCCCAUAUCCACCUAGAGGAGCCUGUCCUAUAAUCGAUAAYCCACGUUUAACCUCACCACUUUUAGCCUAUCAGCCUGUAUACCUCCGUCGUCAGCUUACCACGUGAGCGACCAUAGUGAGCUCAAUGUCCACCCAUCAAAACGUCAGGUCAAGGUGCAGCUUAUAAAGUGGGAAGAGAUGGGCUACACUCUCUAAUCUAGAGAACACGAAAGACUACUUAUGAAACCUAGUCGGAAGGCGGAUUUAGAAGUAAAAGGGGACAAGAAGGCCCCUUUUAACCAGGCACUGGGGUGUGUACACACCGCCCGUCACCCUCUUCGAAGCCAAUAAAACAGUAUUUAACUCACCUAAGCAAAAUAGAAGAGGCAAGUCGUAACAUGGUAAGUAUACCGGAAGGUGUGCUUGGAAA
RNAcentral lists this non-coding RNA (853 nucleotides) under Scinax cardosoi. The record is from RNAcentral. Lineage: Eukaryota; Metazoa; Chordata; Amphibia; Anura; Hylidae.